RNAcentral lists this ribosomal RNA (497 nucleotides) under uncultured bacterium. RNAcentral describes it as "partial 16S ribosomal RNA". It matches the Rfam family "Bacterial small subunit ribosomal RNA", at positions 28 to 507 of the family's 1533-position model. The record is from RNAcentral.
GAUGAACGCUGGCGGCGUGCCUAAUACAUGCAAGUCGAGCGAACAGACGAGGAGCUUGCUCCUCUGACGUUAGCGGCGGACGGGUGAGUAACACGUGGAUAACCUACCUAUAAGACUGGGAUAACUUCGGGAAACCGGAGCUAAUACCGGAUAAUAUAUUGAACCGCAUGGUUCAAUAGUGAAAGACGGUUUUGCUGUCACUUAUAGAUGGAUCCGCGCCGCAUUAGCUAGUUGGUAAGGUAACGGCUUACCAAGGCAACGAUGCGUAGCCGACCUGAGAGGGUGAUCGGCCACACUGGAACUGAGACACGGUCCAGACUCCUACGGGAGGUAGCAGUAGGGAACCUUCCGCAAUGGGCGAAAGCCUGACGGAGCAACGCCGCGUGAGUGAUGAAGGUCUUCGGAUCGUAAAACUCUGUUAUUAGGGAAGAACAAAUGUGUAAGUAACUAUGCACGUCUUGACGGUACCUAAUCAGAAAGCCACGGCUAACUACGUG